CCUACGGGAGGCAGCAGUAGGGAAUCUUCCACAAUGGACGAAAGUCUGAUGGAGCAACGCCGCGUGAGCGAUGAAGGCCUUCGGGUCGUAAAGCUCUGUUGUUAGGGAAGAACAAGUACCGGAGUAACUGCCGGUACCUUGACGGUACCUAACCAGAAAGCCACGGCUAACUACGUGCCAGCAGCCGCGGUAAUACGUAGGUGGCAAGCGUUGUCCGGAAUUAUUGGGCGUAAAGCGCGCGCAGGCGGUUUCUUAAGUCUGAUGUGAAAGCCCCCGGCUCAACCGGGGAGGGUCAUUGGAAACUGGGGGACUUGAGUGCAGAAGAGGAGAGUGGAAUUCCACGUGUAGCGGUGAAAUGCGUAGAGAUGUGGAGGAACACCAGUGGCGAAGGCGACUCUCUGGUCUGUAACUGACGCUGAGGCGCGAAAGCGUGGGGAGCAAACAGGAUUAGAUACCCUGGUAGUCCACGCCGUAAACGAUGAGUGCUAAGUGUUAGGGGGUUUCCGCCCCUUAGUGCUGCAGCUAACGCAUUAAGCACUCCGCCUGGGGAGUACGGCCGCAAGGCUGAAACUCAAAGGAAUUGAC
This 585-nucleotide ribosomal RNA is filed under the name uncultured bacterium. RNAcentral describes it as "bacterial SSU rRNA". It matches the Rfam family "Bacterial small subunit ribosomal RNA", at positions 338 to 914 of the family's 1533-position model. The record is from RNAcentral.